AGAAGUGGAGAAAUCUGAAGAAGCCAAGUAGCUUCCAACAGGACCAAGCUCUGAAUAAUCACUUGUGUUUACCAAAGAAAAAAAUUAAUUUGCAUAUAUACAACUACUUGAGAAGGAAAAGUUCAUAAAGCCACUGUAAUAGCCACAAAAUUAUCAUUUGAAAGAGUCCCUCUUCGUCAUGUCAAUCGAUAAGUCAUGGAUUGGAAAACCACGAAACACGCACGAGUAUAAAGAUGGUCUAAACAAGUUUUUGGAUUUCGCUUUUGAGCAUCGAUCUCCCGGGACAAGUCGGCAGCUGCAAGUUCCUCCCGAGACAAGUCGGCAGCAGCUGCAAGUUCAUCCCGAGACAAGUCGGUAGCUUCAAAUUCUUCUGAGCAUCCAUCCGAACCUAAACGUAAACGUGGACGUGAAUCUAAACAUCAUUGGACUGUUGAUGCCAUAGAUGAAUACGAAAAUAGUACACGCCUUCAUUUAUUAGCGAA
Non-coding RNA from Arachis ipaensis, 482 nucleotides. The record is from RefSeq and is a predicted model, not a curated record. Lineage: Eukaryota; Viridiplantae; Streptophyta; Magnoliopsida; Fabales; Fabaceae.